Molecule: long non-coding RNA, 746 nt
Organism: Panthera uncia (snow leopard)
Lineage: Eukaryota; Metazoa; Chordata; Mammalia; Carnivora; Felidae
Exons: 3
Source: RefSeq, a predicted model, not a curated record
AUCUGUGAAACUGUUUGGGUUCCAACAAAUACUGCUAAGCCUGGCCGACUGACCCUUACUCAACCUCAGUGAGACUAUAAAGUUUGAGACACAGUAAUUCAUCUUGUGUUCAACACAAGGUUUACCUAGAAAGAUUAAGUUCACUCGCUAAAAAGUUAUAAAGUAACUGAAUGUGAGCAAUUUUGGAUUAACAUGAAACAAUGCUUUUCUUUCAGAACCACUUGGGGAGACCAAAUUAAGUCACAGUGGAAGACAAAAGCCGGGGCAACAGGAUGAAUGCAGCAGAAAGAGGAGCUGACCAGAGAGGAGCCUGCCAUUAAAUCACACAGUCAGUACCUCCUGCCUGACUCCACCGCUCGUCUUUUCUCUGCAACUUAUUUACCUGUGGCCUGACCUCCCGCUGCACCCUUCCUUACACCUCCAUCCCUGGUAUUGACUUCUUGGCCUCUUCAUCCCUGAUUAAACUCUCCUCUCCCAAGUGGCUAUGCACACAGUCUCUUUCUCCUUCACCCUGACCCCCCCACCUCUACUUCAAGCAGAUUACACAACUAUGGAAUCCAUUCCUCUCAAGAUCAAGAGGACCAGCAGUCAGUCAACUCCCUGCUUCCUUAACAGGCUUUGACCAUGACCACAGUAAGAAAUAUGUUUAUAUCACAACCCAAUACAUAUACACAUACUACAUUGGGCUGCCUGGCUGGCUCAACUGGUAGAGCAUGAGACUCAGGGUAGUGAGUUCCAGCCACAUG